AACCUGCUGCCAAAACCUGGCAGAGACAGCAAAGAAGAAAACUUAAGAUCAAUAUCCUUGAUGAGAAUAGAUCCAAAAUUCCUCAACAAAAUAUUAUCAAACUGAAUUCAGCAGCACAAUGUGAGUCUAA
This is a long non-coding RNA of Sapajus apella (tufted capuchin), 130 nucleotides long. RefSeq lists it as uncharacterized. The transcript has 3 exons. NCBI's taxonomy places the organism in Eukaryota, Metazoa, Chordata, Mammalia, Primates, Cebidae. The record is from RefSeq and is a predicted model, not a curated record.